Molecule: long non-coding RNA, 3577 nt
Organism: Scylla paramamosain (green mud crab)
Lineage: Eukaryota; Metazoa; Arthropoda; Malacostraca; Decapoda; Portunidae
Exons: 4
Source: RefSeq, a predicted model, not a curated record
UCCGUCUUUUUGUUUUCCUUAUCAUAUAUUAAGAAACCGACUGCUUACGAGCACCAUUAGACAGAAAAAAUUAAAAAAAAGUUCAUUGAGAUAUACAAAUAGCAAACGAGAAUGGACUUUCAAGGGAAUGAGGAGACAAUGGAAAAAGAAGCCAGGAAAGACAGAGAAAAGAAGGUAAGGAAAAAAAAAAAAGAAGGGAAUACUGAGAAGGAAAGAGAAGGAUAGAAAGAGAAGGCACAACUGGAGAGAGAAGAAAUGGCUGGAAAGAGAGACUGGAAUGAGGUGACAAGUCAGGAACUAGAAGAGAAAGAUAAAAAGACAGGACAUGAGAAGGAAGGAAAGACACGACAGGAAAGAGAGGAAAUGGCUGGAAAGAGAAUACAAUGAUGAAGUAGAACAUAAAGCAAGGAGGAGGAGUUAAGGCUGGAGAGAAUAGACAAGGAUAAGAAAGAAGACAACCCUGGAUACAAGACGACCCUGGAAAGACAAGAUUAUCCCAGGAAAGAGGAGACAAAGCUGGAAACAGGAGACACAGCUGGGAAGAAAAUGCAAGGCCAGAAUGAGAAGAUAAGACUGGAAAGAGAGAGAGAGAGAGAGAGAGAGAGAGAGAGAGAGAGAGAGAGAGAGAGAGAGAGAGAGAGAGAGAGAACUAACUACCCGUUUGUGUGUAUUGCACGUGUUUGUUAGCUUGAUAUAUGUGUAUCAUCAGUCUGAUGAUGAUUUGAAUAUAAAUUUUAUUUAUUUGUUUAUUUCUAAAUUAGUUCGUGUAUCAGUGUAUUUAUGUAGACGAGGAUUAAGCUCUGUACAAGGUGCGCAAGCCGCACGUCUUUGUGACGUGGCAGUGGGGAGGUGAGGUGAGGUGGCAGCAGGGUGAUGAGGUGGCGACGAACCGUCAGCCAGGGUUAGUUGCUGUCCGCCCCUACCUGAAGUGUGUUGUGAUGGAUCACUGGAUGUAACAUUUAUUCAAGACUUGGGAUUAUUGUAUUAUGCUGUUUAUGAAUCCAAUUACUGGUUCGGAAAGUUCAUGGAGGCAAUCCAUAUGCGGCUGGAGCUACCGUUGUUUGCUUCAUGGUAAUCAUCAGUGUUUCCUUUGCUAAAAUGAACCUAACACAUAGCUCGGGGUAGGGCCAACUCGGCCCUUUUCCAUCUCGGCCCAUUAUGAAAAGGCAACUCGGACCAUCUUGUGGACCAACUCGGACCAUUCUCAUUUUCUGAAAUACCAAGUCGGACCACCAUGUUUGCCGACUCGGACCAUCAUAAACUGUGGGCAGUGUUGCCAACCUCUACAGACGUCUCCGCCCUACACACUUACUGAAAUUACCCUACAUUUGCCUUCAUUACCCUACGACUCGGGAUGAAAAAACAAAUUGUCAUAAUACUGGCGCAGCCGUAAUUAUUAAAUUAUUAUUAUUAAAAUUCCACUGUAAACUACAUGUAAGCAAUACAUAAGCUAAUUAUCUCUUUAAUCACGAAUCAGUAACCGCUUCAUUUGAGCGUGGGAAAAAAAAUCUCGACAAGCUGCACGUGGCUUCACGUAUGAACGUGUAUUAUCACUACAUUUGUUAGAUUCAAACCAUCAUAAACUAUCACACAGAAGGGAGCAGGUCGUUUCGGCCGUGAGCACUCUAGGCCUAGAGUCGUUUAGGCCGUGAUCCCUUUACGCCGAGAGUCGUUUAGGCCGCGACUCUGUAGGCCGUGGGUCGUUUAGGCCGUAAUACUGAGAUCCUUUUUAUAGUUUUUAUAGUGCAGUCGAUGCUGGAGGACUACUGUGGAGGCGAGAAGUGUGACGUGAUUGCAUGCUAAUGAGUUUUAUUGAUACUCUUGAUAAUGUAUCGAGAGAUCGAUACCUCCAUAAAAUAAAGAUAAUAAAUGGAAGAGACCUAUAUACAGUGGAAGAGACCUAUAUGCAGUGGAAACUAUGUUCCGUAGCGUACAUACACACACAUUAAUCGUUUUAUGAGGUACUGCAGGAAGUGCACGAAACCCAGUCAUUGAAAAUACCGGGUUUCACAGCUGCCAUUAAUCAGCUCAAGAUACACCAUUAUCACAUUUCCUGUUCUGCCACCUCUCACACCUGUGUCGCACAGCAAACUUUGCCGUGUCCGUACAAGUGCAAUUACAAUUACGAAACCUACAUACUAAUUUUGAAACAGUCUCAAUUAGUUAAUUCAAAAUAUUACUAAAUUCGAAACCUAUAAUUUCGAAAGUCUCAAAACACUGUCUUGCUUACUUAGUUGAUGUGUUGAAAUCAAAUUCUGCGUAUUCGUUAUUCCCUCACACCUCAUCGCUCAGGAUGCCUACCACAUUUCCUCGUGUUGUUUGCUCUCGACGUGUACGAUUCAACCAGCAUGCUCUGCAGUGUGACCAUUGUCAAGAACGGCAGCACAGACUCUCGGCCUAAAGGGAUCACGGCCUAACCAACUUGAACUCGGACAGAGAAGAGUGCUUCACACACUUGUCAGAUUCAAACCAUCAUAAACUAUCGCACAGAGAAGAGUGCUUCACACAUGUGUGAUUCUUCGUUCACUCACACGAUGUCCAGGCCAGAUAUCACUUGUACACGGCAGAAGGCAGUCACGGCAGAAGGCAGUCCGAUCAUGGACAAGUGUUUGGUGUGCAAAGACGUAGCGCGUCCUCGACAGGUGAGACUACAGGAUUUAAUCGUUAAUUGAAUUUAUUGUAACUAUGUUGAACAGUUUUCUGUAAUACUGAUUAUAUCUAGUGUACACUAAAAUAUCGACAUGAACCUCGGAAUAUGAUUUUUUACAGGAGGCAUUGUUGCGUGAUGGAUGUAAACCGUGGCAACACAGAACCUGUAAGGCUGGGAUUUCAAGGGAGGACUAUAGAAGAGCUGGAAGGGAGGGUCUUGACGUGAAUUGGAGCUGCACAACUUGCUCUUCUGUACAAGACAUCGCUGUACAUGACUGCCCUGAGGAUCAUCUACCUACUCCGACCCAGGCGUUAGUGGAUGAUAUAAAUUCUGAAACUUGUCUAGACGAAGACACCUUGGACAACGACACUUUGGACUGCUCUGAGGCUCAUCCACCUAUUAUAACGUAUGAAAAAAUGUGUGCAUCUUCACAAAGGGGCAAGCAGAAACUUGUGGACAGUCUACGAUUUUCAUACACCUUUAAAAGAAAAACAAAUGUUGGUGUUCAUUGGCGCUGUGCAGUGCGUACGUAAUAAAAAGGUUACCUGUAACAUGAUGGUAAAGGAAGUGAACGGAGUGUUUAUCAGAGGAGCCAAUGAACAUUCACACCCACCGGAAGCAUGUCCUUUGACUACAAGCAUGGUGUCAAAGUUAAUUAAAGACAAAGCAAUGGAUGAUGUAUUUCGCCCAGCUUUAGAAAUCGUGGAGGAAGUGCUUCUUGAACACGUUGAUCCAACAAAGCCUACUGCCUCGCUACCUGCACCGGUGAAUCUAGCUCGCCAAGCAAACAGGAAGCGGCGAGCUAACAGACCUGCUGAGCCCAGUGACCUAACUUUUUGUAUUAGUGAGGAGCACAUUCCACCUAACUUUCUUAAAGCAGAUAUAAGUAUAGGGGACAGACGCCACCUAUUGUUUGCAACACAAGAA